This is a long non-coding RNA of Notothenia coriiceps (black rockcod), 339 nucleotides long. RefSeq lists it as uncharacterized. NCBI's taxonomy places the organism in Eukaryota, Metazoa, Chordata, Actinopteri, Perciformes, Nototheniidae. The transcript is spliced from 3 exons. The record is from RefSeq and is a predicted model, not a curated record.
UUCAACACCUUUCCCUUCAGGUUCUUUGACAUCACUCCUCUGGGGCUGAUCAUCAACAGAUUCUCCGCCGACACCAACAUCAUAGAUCAGCACAUUCCUCCCACCCUGGAGUCUUUAACGAGAUCCACGCUGCUCUUACUGUCGGCCAUCGGCGUGAUUUCCUCCAUCACUCCAGCCUUCCUCAUCGCUCUCUUUCCUUUGGCCAUCGCCUUCUACUUCAUCCAGAAGUACUUCAGGGUGGCCUCCAAAGACCUCCAGGACCUCGAUGACUCCACUCAGCUCCCUCUGCUCUGCCACUUCUCUGAGACCGCUGAGGGUCUGACUACCAUUAGAGCAUUC